RNAcentral lists this long non-coding RNA (338 nucleotides) under Aquilegia coerulea. RNAcentral's name for it is "long non-coding RNA (ACOE_LNC002027)". Lineage: Eukaryota; Viridiplantae; Streptophyta; Magnoliopsida; Ranunculales; Ranunculaceae. The record is from RNAcentral.
GAUGCCCCUCCGCUACAACAACGUGUGCCCAAUGCUCAGUGGUUUACCAGGGUUCUUAAGGAUUAUCAUGUCCAGCGGCCCCGACGAUUUGUAAGUUUUCAUCAGUUAGUGAUCUUAAUUUCUAUAUUUAAGAAAAAAUUACAAGUUUUUACGAUUAAUGUUGUGUACUUGUCAAUUCCCGAUAAUGCAGUCAUUUCCAGCUCAGUUUAAGUGGAGACUUAGACGUGCAAAGAUCUUAGAAGUGCUUCGUCAGCACGGUGGACGCUGGGUUGGACGGAGGGUAUAUGACCACCAUCGCCACUAUGCUAUUCACCAUGGACUAUGGAGGACAAUUGUGG